AACGAACGCUGGCGGCAUGCCUAACACAUGCAAGUCGAACGAGACCUUCGGGUGUAGUGGCGCACGGGUGCGUAACGCGUGGGAACCUGCCAUUAGGCUCGGAAUAACUCCCCGAAAGGGGUGAUAAUACCGGAUAAUGUCUUAGGACCAAAGAUUUAUCGCCUUUGGAGGGGCCCGCGUUGGAUUAGCUAGUGGGUAGGGUAAAAGCCUACAAAGGCGACGAUCCAUAGCUGGUCUGAGAGGAUGAUCAGCCACACUGGGACUGAGACACGGCCCAGACUCCUACGGGAGGAAGCAGUGGGGAAUAUUGGACAAUGGGCGAAAGCCUGAUCCAGCAAUGCCGCGUGUGUGAUGAAGUCCUUAGGGUUGUAAAGCUCUUUUACCCGCGAUGAUAAUGACAGUACCGUGAGAAUAAGCUCCGGCUAACUCCGUG
This 433-nucleotide ribosomal RNA is filed under the name uncultured bacterium. Its description in RNAcentral is "partial 16S ribosomal RNA". It matches the Rfam family "Bacterial small subunit ribosomal RNA", at positions 29 to 507 of the family's 1533-position model. The record is from RNAcentral.